RNAcentral lists this ribosomal RNA (253 nucleotides) under uncultured bacterium. Its description in RNAcentral is "partial 16S ribosomal RNA". It matches the Rfam family "Bacterial small subunit ribosomal RNA", at positions 524 to 776 of the family's 1533-position model. The record is from RNAcentral.
GACGGAGGAUGCAAGUGUUAUCCGGAAUCACUGGGCGUAAAGCGUCUGUAGGUGGUUUAACAAGUCCACUGUUAAAGAUUGAAGCUUAACUUCAAAAAUGCCGUGGAAACUUUUAAACUUGAGUAUGAUAGGGGUAGAGGGAAUUUCCAGUGGAGCGGUGAAAUGCGUAGAUAUUGGAAAGACCACCAAUGGCGAAGGCACUCUACUGGGCCAUUACUGACACUGAGAGACGAAAGCUAGGGGAGCAAAUGGG